CCAACAUACCAGAAAACUAGUGUUACAGUUAGUGCAGGUAUACGUAUUACUACGGCAUAAACAAUCCGAUUUUUAUGUUAUAGCUUUUAUAUAAGCUUACGUAACUGUUAACAUAGUAGUAUAUGUUCUACUUCUGACUCAAAACUGACUGUUGAUGAUAUUCGCAAGUGUUGAAUUUUAAAGUAUUUAACUUCAUAAAUAUUUUUAUAUUUUUAAAAGCUACAGGAAAAUGAGUACAAGUUUAAUGAGCCCAGCUGUUAAGUACUCACCUGCCUGUUCACCUUUGACCCGUCAAACACAGACCAUACUUGCUUAUCACGUCGCUCACUGUUUUAGAGUCAGGGAGCGUAGAUGGAGGUAUUAAACUGGUUAUUGUUUUAUUAACCGCCAACUUCAUUCUAAAGAUAAAAGGACUCUUUCGUCUUUGAAGAAAGCUACGAGCAGCUCUAGUUUCCAAAAUUUGGUUACGAAGUAUUCGCACUGAUACAAGAACUCGUUGGACUACUAAACUCAAGAUAUGUAGUUUAAACUGAAAAAG
Long non-coding RNA from Physella acuta, 538 nucleotides. RefSeq lists it as uncharacterized. The record is from RefSeq and is a predicted model, not a curated record. NCBI's taxonomy places the organism in Eukaryota, Metazoa, Mollusca, Gastropoda, Physidae.